GACGAACGCUGGCGGCGUGCUUAACACAUGCAAGUCGAACGGAAAGGCCCUGCUUGCAGGGUACUCGAGUGGCGAACGGGUGAGUAACACGUGGGUGAUCUGCCCUGCACUUCGGGAUAAGCCUGGGAAACUGGGUCUAAUACCGGAUAGGAGCCAUUUUUAGUGUGAUGGUUGGAAAGUUUUUUCGGUGUAGGAUGAGCUCGCGGCCUAUCAGCUUGUUGGUGGGGUAAUGGCCUACCAAGGCGGCGACGGGUAGCCGGCCUGAGAGGGUGCACGGCCACAUUGGGACUGAGAUACGGCCCAGACUCCUACGGGAGGCAGCAGUGGGGAAUAUUGCACAAUGGGCGCAAGCCUGAUGCAGCGACGCCGCGUGGGGGAUGACGGCCUUCGGGUUGUAAACUCCUUUCGCUAGGGACGAAGCUUUUUGUGACGGUACCUAGAUAAGAAGCACCGGCUAACUACGUG
This 465-nucleotide ribosomal RNA is filed under the name uncultured bacterium. RNAcentral's name for it is "partial 16S ribosomal RNA". It matches the Rfam family "Bacterial small subunit ribosomal RNA", at positions 28 to 507 of the family's 1533-position model. The record is from RNAcentral.